This 468-nucleotide ribosomal RNA is filed under the name uncultured bacterium. Its description in RNAcentral is "partial 16S ribosomal RNA". It matches the Rfam family "Bacterial small subunit ribosomal RNA", at positions 28 to 507 of the family's 1533-position model. The record is from RNAcentral.
GACGAACGCUGGCGGCAUGCUUAACACAUGCAAGUCGAACGGACAGGCCGCGCUUUUGUGGGGUGCUCGUGGGGCAAGCGGGUGAGUCACACGUGAGUAACCUGCCCUUGACUUUAGGAUAACUUCAGGCAACUGGGGCUAAUACCGGCUAGGAGCUCCUGCUGCAUGUAUGGGGAUGGAAUGUUUCGGCGGUUGGGGAUGGACUCGCGGCUUAUCAGCUUGAUGGUGGGGUAGUGGCAUACCUAGGCUUUGACGGGUAGCAGGCCUGAGAGGGUUACCGGCCACACUAGGACGGAGAUGCGGCACAGACUCCUACGGGAGGCAGCAGUGGGGAAUAGUGCACAAGGGGCGGAAGCCUGAUGUAGCAACGCCGCGUGGGGGAAGUCGGCCAGGGGGUCGGGAAGCGCUGCUGCCUGGGACGGAGCGUGAGUGACGGUAACGGUAAAAGAAGCACCGGCUAACUACGUG